UCAAUUGCGUAUUUUAUCUGUUAAAAAUUUAUAAUGAGUGCGAAUUGUGGUCGAGAAUGCCGAUUAAAGUGACGGGCGAUGAUCGGAGCGUAUCGUUUGCUGCGGAUGUUUUGUAAUUAACAAUGAUUCGGCAUUCGCUUGGUGGCUGGACCAUGAAUGCGCGGUUUUUUAGUAAAACAUGUGUUGUGUGCGUGACUUGUGUACAGUGUCGAAAAAGUCGUCGAGAACAAGAUAAUAAUCGGAUAACACUGCGCGAACGCGGUAUGAAGUACAUUUUAACUCAAGUUUGUUUUAUAUAUCGUAGCAAGUUCAAAAUGUCAAACCGUCUUUUAUUUUCGUGUUAUUUCGAAAGUGAAGUACGCAAGAGUUCUCAGUAUUCAUUGAUUCUUGAGAGAACUGGUGUAGAGCAGUCUACGGCGGAAUUUUCAGCGAAUAAACUGCAAUAUCCUAGCUGGUACAGUCUUUAAAGGCGUGCUUAGCUAGGGUACAACGAUCGG
This is a non-coding RNA of Linepithema humile (Argentine ant), 497 nucleotides long. The record is from RefSeq and is a predicted model, not a curated record. NCBI's taxonomy places the organism in Eukaryota, Metazoa, Arthropoda, Insecta, Hymenoptera, Formicidae.